Molecule: ribosomal RNA, 433 nt
Filed under: uncultured bacterium
Lineage: Bacteria
Description: partial 16S ribosomal RNA
Rfam family: Bacterial small subunit ribosomal RNA
Source: RNAcentral
AACGAACGCUGGCGGCAUGCCUAACACAUGCAAGUCGAACGAGACCUUCGGGUCUAGUGGCGCACGGGGGCGUAACGCGGGGGAACCGGCCCUUAGGUUCGGAAUAACUCCCCGAAAGGGGUGCUAAUACCGGAUAAUUUAUGCGGACCCAAGAUUUAUCGCCUUUGGAUGGGCCCGCGUUGGAUUAGCUAGUUGGUAGGGUAAAAGCCUACCAAGGCGACGAUCCAUAGCUGGUCUGAGAGGAUGAUCAGCCACACUGGGAGUGAGACGCGGCCCAGACUCCUGCGGGAGGCAGCAGUGGGGGAUAUUGGACAAUGGGCGAAAGCCUGAUCCAGCAAUGCCGCGUGAGUGAUGAAGGCCUUAGGGUUGUAAAGCUCUUUUACCCGGGAUGAUAAUGACAGUACCGGGAGAAUAAGCUCCGGCUAACUCCGUG